Molecule: long non-coding RNA, 581 nt
Organism: Nicotiana attenuata
Lineage: Eukaryota; Viridiplantae; Streptophyta; Magnoliopsida; Solanales; Solanaceae
Exons: 3
Source: RefSeq, a predicted model, not a curated record
AGCCCAUUCUCCUAGCUGCCAGGUUUGAAGUCACGCUUGAAAAACACAAGUAAAAGGGGGUUUGUUAGUUCUAAGAUACCUAGAGGAGCAGAGUGACGGCACUGUAAUUAGAUAGAAAAAAGAAAAAAAAAGCUACAGGGGAGUAGGGUGGAGAGGACGACGGCUGUACUAAGAGUUAGGAGUGGACGAUUCUUGCAAUUCAACAUUGGUGCUCAGAUUGAGGACAUUGGAGGUCGUUUGGUUGGUGUUCUAGGCUUUGCAAAGUUAGGGAACUUCCCGUUAGCGAGAUACCGUUGCGGGAGAUAGAGCUAGUGGCUGACGAGUUUAUUCGAGUAGAUCCUAUUGCUGAGGUGAGCCACCGCAUUGUUCGUGGAGGCUUUCGUUUUAGACUCACUUAGUUCGUGUUAGUUAUUUCUUUUCUUUGGGGUUUGCAUACCCGCCAAUAAAAACUCAUAUUACUCUGUUAGAUGCUCCAUGGUCUUUUUGUGGGAUUUGGGCUAGAAUUUUAUUAUUUGGGUGAUUAUUGAUUUUUCCUAUUAAUUGACUAAGGUAUUGGGUGAUAGUCAUUACCUCUUUAGUUA